Molecule: long non-coding RNA, 1065 nt
Filed under: Oryctolagus cuniculus (rabbit)
Lineage: Eukaryota; Metazoa; Chordata; Mammalia; Lagomorpha; Leporidae
Description: lncRNA (ENSOCUG00000029404.1)
Source: RNAcentral
AUGAAAUAUUCCUCAAAGACAAGAAUUUUGAGCUUACACUUUCAUCUGUGCUGGAACCUGUGCACACACAUGCACUUUCCAUGUAACACAUCCUCACACUUGCACACGUGCACUUCUGCAUGUAUGCAUCCUCACGCACACAUGUGCACUUUCUCAUGUACACAUCCUCACCUGCACACAUGUGUACUUUCCUAUGUACACAUCCGCCCACACAUGCACAUUCCCAUGUAUACCUCCUCACGUGCCUGCACACACGUGCAUUCACAUGUGCACAUCCUCACACCUGCACACACCUGUACUUUCCCAUGCACACAUCCUCACACCUGGACACGCAUGUACUCUCCCAUGGACACAUCCUCACAUACAUGCUCACACAUGCACUCACGUGUACACAUCCUCCCACCUGCACACAUGUACUUUCCCAUGUACACAUUCUCACACCUGGACACGCAGGUACUCUCCCAUGGACACAUCCUCACAUACAUGCUCACACAUGCACUCACGUGUACACAUCCUCCCACCUGCACAUAUGUACUUUCCCAUGUACACAUCCUCACACCUGGACACGCAUGUACUCUCCCAUGGACACAUCCUCACACACCUGCUCACACAUGCAUUCACGUGUACACAUCCUCACAUACCUGCUCACACGUGCAUUCACAUGUAUACAUCCUCACACACAUGCUCACACAUAUGUACUUUCCCAUGUACACAUCCUCACACCUGGACACGCAUGUACUCUCCCAUGGACACAUCCUCACACACCUGCACACACAUGUACUUUCCCACGGACACAUCCUCACACCUACACACACAUGCAUUCACAUGUACACACCCUCACACACAUGCUCACACAUUCACAUGUGCACAUCCUCACACCUGCACACAUGUGCACUUUCCCAUGUGCACACCAUCACAUACCUGCUCACACGUGCAUUCCCAUGUACACAUCCUCACACACAUGCUCACACAUGUGUGCUUUCCCAUGGACACAUCCUCACACCAGACACGUGUACAUAUCCUCACACACAUGCUCACACAGCUGCACCCCAUAGUUUCUCAUGA